This 654-nucleotide long non-coding RNA is filed under the name Struthio camelus australis. RNAcentral's name for it is "lncRNA (ENSSCUG00000000806.1)". Lineage: Eukaryota; Metazoa; Chordata; Aves; Struthioniformes; Struthionidae. The record is from RNAcentral.
CAGGAGUGGACCCCAUGCAUCUGCAGGGCAUGAUAGAUAUCCUGACAGAUGCUCUUUUCCCCAAUGCUAUGGGUAGUGGGCGCUUUGAUAGCAGGUGAAGCCGGUUCCUGCUCAGUGAGUGAGGUAAAGAGCUCCAUUAGACGCCCCGCGGGAUUGCAAGACAAUUCUGUAGAGACAGACUGCGUGGCGGAGCAAACGGGCCCCUCACUUAACCCGCCUUCCAGGGAGGCUCGGGCUCAUCUGUCUCCUGUCACUUUAGAUUCCACCGUCACCUCUUCAUCAUCCCUCGAGCUGCCACGGAGGCUGGUGCCGGUUCCAGCUGGGAAGGGGGGAACAAAAGAAAAAGAGAGAGAGCAGGAGGGGCAGAAGAACAUAUUAGCACGGAGUGGAAGUGAAGCCCCAGAAGAUGGACCGUCACCUAUGCUCGUGCCUCCUGAGCAAAGCAAGUUUUGGAUGGGGAAGUUCUGCCCUGCUCACACACCUUAUCUCCUUGUGAUCGAAGGUCAUCCGCUGCAGCAGCUAGGCCGUGUUUGUCCACCUCCCCUCUUUCUGCGCAGCGGAUUCGGUGCCGGCUUUUCAAGAGAUGGCUUCAGACUGUGCCCCUUACUCACCGAGGCGUCCCUUAAAGUUCGCUUUCAGCUUGGCAUGAUGUGA